This 27-nucleotide unclassified non-coding RNA is filed under the name Mus musculus (house mouse). RNAcentral's name for it is "oocyte_clustered_small_RNA8798". Lineage: Eukaryota; Metazoa; Chordata; Mammalia; Rodentia; Muridae. The record is from RNAcentral.
GUCAAAGGCAGCAAGGAGAGACUACUG